GGGGGGGGGGGGGGGGGUGCGUAGGGGGUGCGGGGGGAGCGGGGGGGCGCCAGCUGGGUGGUGUGGAGUAGUGGCGAACGGGUGAGUAACACGUGAGUAACCUGCCCCCUACUCUGGGAUAAGCCUGGGAAACUGGGUCUAAUACUGGAUAUGACCAAUCACUGCAUGGUGUGUUGGUGGAAAGAUUUUGUGGUGGGGGAUGGACUCGCGGCCUAUCAGCUUGUUGGUGGGGUAAUGGCCUACCAAGGCGACGACGGGUAGCCGGCCUGAGAGGGCGACCGGCCACACUGGGACUGAGACACGGCCCAGACUCCUACGGGAGGCAGCAGUGGGGAAUAUUGCACAAUGGGCGAAAGCCUGAUGCAGCGACGCCGCGUGAGGGAUGACGGCCUUCGGGUUGUAAACCUCUUUCACCAGGGACGAAGCUAACGUGACGGUACCUGGAGAAGAAGCAUCGGCUAACUACGUG
RNAcentral lists this ribosomal RNA (469 nucleotides) under uncultured bacterium. RNAcentral describes it as "partial 16S ribosomal RNA". It matches the Rfam family "Bacterial small subunit ribosomal RNA", at positions 39 to 507 of the family's 1533-position model. The record is from RNAcentral.